GCGGGAGUAGUUCAAUUGGUUAGAGCACUGCCCUGUCACGGCAGAAGUUGCGGGUUCGAGUCCCGUCUCCCGCG
RNAcentral lists this transfer RNA (74 nucleotides) under Verrucomicrobiota bacterium. Its description in RNAcentral is "Verrucomicrobia bacterium tRNA-Asp". It matches the Rfam family "tRNA". From Rfam's summary of the family: Transfer RNA (tRNA) molecules are approximately 80 nucleotides in length. Lineage: Bacteria; Pseudomonadati; Verrucomicrobiota. The record is from RNAcentral. RNAcentral also lists the same sequence under 2 other names.